UUUAUUUGAUAGUACCUUACUACUUGGAUAACCGUGGUAAUUCUAGAGCUAAUACAUGCUAAAAACCCCGACUUCGGGAGGGGUGUAUUUAUUAGAUAAAAAACCAAUGCCCUUCGGGGCUCCUUGGUGAUUCAUAAUAACUUCUCAGAUCGCAUGGCCUUGCGCCGGCGACGGUUCAUUCAAAUUUCUGCCCUAUCAACUUUCGAUGGUAAGGUAUUGGCUUACCAUGGUUUCAACGGGUAACGGGGAAUUAGGGUUCGAUUCCGGAGAGGGAGCCUGAGAAACGGCUACCACAUCCAAGGAAGGCAGCAGGCGCGCAAAUUACCCAAUCCCGACACGGGGAGGUAGUGACAAUAAAUACUGAUACAGGGCUCUUUAGGGUCUUGUAAUUGGAAUGAGUACAAUUUAAACCUCUUAACGAGGAACAAUUGGAGGGCAAGUCUGGUGCCAGCAGCCGCGGUAAUUCCAGCUCCAAUAGCGUAUAUUAAAGUUGUUGCAGUUAAAAAGCUCGUAGUUGAACCUUUGGCCUGGCUGGCGGGUCCGCCUCACCGCGUGCACUCGUCCGGCCGGGCCUUUUCUUCUGGAGAACCGCAUGCCCUUCACUGGGUGUGUUGGGGACCAGGACUUUUACUUUGAAAAAAUUAGAGUGUUCAAAGCAGGCCUUUGCUCGAAUACGUUAGCAUGGAAUAAUAGAAUAGGACGUGCGGUCCUAUUUUGUUGGUUUCUAGGACCGCCGUAAUGAUUAAUAGGGACAGUCGGGGGCAUCAGUAUUCAAUUGUCAGAGGUGAAAUUCUUGGAUUUAUUGAAGACUAACUACUGCGAAAGCAUUUGCCAAGGAUGUUUUCAUUAAUCAGUGAACGAAAGUUAGGGGAUCGAAGACGAUCAGAUACCGUCGUAGUCUUAACCAUAAACUAUGCCGACUAGGGAUCGGGCGGUGUUAUUAUUUUGACUCGCUCGGCACCUUACGAGAAAUCA
This 975-nucleotide ribosomal RNA is filed under the name Periconia chengduensis. RNAcentral's name for it is "SSU rRNA". It matches the Rfam family "Eukaryotic small subunit ribosomal RNA", at positions 116 to 1100 of the family's 1831-position model. Lineage: Eukaryota; Fungi; Ascomycota; Dothideomycetes; Pleosporales; Periconiaceae. The record is from RNAcentral.